This 422-nucleotide ribosomal RNA is filed under the name Verrucomicrobiota bacterium. Its description in RNAcentral is "Verrucomicrobia bacterium partial 16S ribosomal RNA". It matches the Rfam family "Bacterial small subunit ribosomal RNA", at positions 355 to 776 of the family's 1533-position model. The record is from RNAcentral. Lineage: Bacteria; Pseudomonadati; Verrucomicrobiota.
UGGGGAAUUUUGCACAAUGGGCGCAAGCCUGAUGCAGCGACGCCGCGUGAGGGAUGAAGGCCUUCGGGUUGUAAACCUUUUUCGCUCAUGGUCAAGCCGCAGCUUUGGGUUGUGGUGAGGGUAGUGGGUAAAGAAGCGCCGGCUAACUACGUGCCAGCAGCCGCGGUAAUACGUAGGGCGCGAGCGUUGUCCGGAAUUAUUGGGCGUAAAGGGCUUGUAGGCGGUUGGCCGCGUCUGCCGUGAAAUCCUCUGGCUUAACUGGGGGCGGGCGGUGGGUACGGGUUGACUUGAGUGCGGUAGGGGAGAGUGGAAUUCCUGGUGUAGCGUUGGAAUGCGCAGAUAGCAGGAGGAACACCGGUGGAGAAGGCGGGUCUCUGGGCCGUUACUGACGCUGAGGAGCGAACGAGUGGGGAGCGAACAGG